GACGAACGCUGGCGGCGUGCUUAACACAUGCAAGUCGAACGGAAAGGCCCUGCUUUGGUGGGGUGCUCGAGUGGCGAACGGGUGAGUAACACGUGAGUAACCUGCCCUUGACUUUGGGAUAACUUCAGGAAACUGGGGCUAAUACCGGAUAGGAGCUCCUGCUGCAUGGUGGGGGUUGGAAAGUUUCGGCGGUUGGGGAUGGACUCGCGGCUUAUCAGCUUGUUGGUGGGGUAGUGGCUUACCAAGGCUUUGACGGGUAGCCGGCCUGAGAGGGUGACCGGCCCCAUUGGGACUGAGAUACGGCCCAGACUCCUACGGGAGGCAGCAGUGGGGAAUAUUGCACAAUGGGCGGAAGCCUGAUGCAGCAACGCCGCGUGCGGGAUGACGGCCUUCGGGUUGUAAACCGCUUUCGCCUGUGACGAAGCGUGAGUGACGGUAAUGUGUAAAGAAGCACCGGCUAACUACGUG
Molecule: ribosomal RNA, 468 nt
Filed under: uncultured bacterium
Lineage: Bacteria
Description: partial 16S ribosomal RNA
Rfam family: Bacterial small subunit ribosomal RNA
Source: RNAcentral